RNAcentral lists this ribosomal RNA (465 nucleotides) under Vreelandella stevensii. RNAcentral describes it as "partial 16S ribosomal RNA". It matches the Rfam family "Bacterial small subunit ribosomal RNA", at positions 338 to 795 of the family's 1533-position model. Lineage: Bacteria; Pseudomonadati; Pseudomonadota; Gammaproteobacteria; Oceanospirillales; Halomonadaceae. The record is from RNAcentral.
CCUACGGGGGGCAGCAGUGGGGAAUAUUGGACAAUGGGGGGAACCCUGAUCCAGCCAUGCCGCGUGUGUGAAGAAGGCCCUCGGGUUGUAAAGCACUUUCAGUGAGGAAGAACGCGUGGUGGUUAAUACCCAUCAGGAAAGCCAUAACUCACAGAAGAAGCACCGGCUAACUCCGUGCCAGCAGCCGCGGUAAUACGGAGGGUGCGAGCGUUAAUCGGAAUUACUGGGCGUAAAGCGCGCGUAGGUGGCUUGAUAAGCCGGUUGUGAAAGCCCCGGGCUCAACCUGGGAACGGCAUCCGGAACUGUCAAGCUAGAGUGCAGGAGAGGAAGGUAGAAUUCCCGGUGUAGCGGUGAAAUGCGUAGAGAUCGGGAGGAAUACCAGUGGCGAAAGCGGCCUUCUGGACUGACACUGACACUGAGGUGCGAAAGCGUGGGUAGCAAACAGGAUUAGAUACCCCAGUAGUC